ACAAAGGCUCUUUUAAGAGCCACCCACAAUCUCCACAAAGAGCUC
Molecule: non-coding RNA, 45 nt
Filed under: Pelobates cultripes (western spadefoot toad)
Lineage: Eukaryota; Metazoa; Chordata; Amphibia; Anura; Pelobatidae
Rfam family: Histone 3' UTR stem-loop
About the family: The mRNAs of metazoan histone genes lack a poly-A tail. 3' end processing occurs at a site between a highly conserved stem-loop (modelled by this family) and a purine rich region around 20 nts downstream (the histone downstream element, or HDE).
Source: RNAcentral